Molecule: ribosomal RNA, 251 nt
Filed under: uncultured prokaryote
Description: partial 16S ribosomal RNA
Rfam family: Bacterial small subunit ribosomal RNA
Source: RNAcentral
ACGUAGGAGGCGAGCGUUAUCCGGAAUUACUGGGCGUAAAGCGCACGCAGGCGGUUUGUUAAGCAAGACGUGAAAUCCCCGGGCUUAACCUGGGAAUGGCGUUUUGAACUGGCAGUCUAGAGUGCGUCAGAGGGGGGUGGAAUUCCACGUGUAGCAGUGAGAUGCGUAGAGAUGUGGAGGAACACCGAUGGCGGAGGCAGCCCCCUGGGAUGACACUGACGCUCAUGUACGAAAGCGUGGGUAGCAAACAG